Molecule: ribosomal RNA, 497 nt
Filed under: uncultured bacterium
Lineage: Bacteria
Description: partial 16S ribosomal RNA
Rfam family: Bacterial small subunit ribosomal RNA
Source: RNAcentral
GAUGAACGCUGGCGGCGUGCCUAAUACAUGCAAGUAGAACGCUGAAGCUUGGUGCUUGCACCGAGCGGAUGAGUUGCGAACGGGUGAGUAACGCGUAGGUAACCUGCCUCUUAGCGGGGGAUAACUAUUGGAAACGAUAGCUAAUACCGCAUAAAAGUCGAUAUCGCAUGAUAUUGAUUUGAAAGGUGCAAUUGCAUCACUAAGAGAUGGACCUGCGUUGUAUUAGCUAGUUGAUGAGGUAAUGGCUCACCAAGGCAACGAUACAUAGCCGACCUGAGAGGGUGAUCGGCCACACUGGGACUGAGACACGGCCCAGACUCCUACGGGAGGCAGCAGUAGGGAAUCUUCGGCAAUGGGGGCAACCCUGACCGAGCAACGCCGCGUGAGUGAAGAAGGUUUUCGGAUCGUAAAGCUCUGUUGUAAGAGAAGAACGAGUGUGAGAGUGGAAAGUUCACACUGUGACGGUAACUUACCAGAAAGGGACGGCUAACUACGUG